Molecule: ribosomal RNA, 497 nt
Filed under: uncultured bacterium
Lineage: Bacteria
Description: partial 16S ribosomal RNA
Rfam family: Bacterial small subunit ribosomal RNA
Source: RNAcentral
GAUGAACGCUGGCGGCGUGCCUAAUACAUGCAAGUCGAGCGAACAGACGAGGAGCUUGCUCCUCUGACGUUAGCGGCGGACGGGUGAGUAACACGUGGAUAACCUACCUAUAAGACUGGGAUAACUUCGGGAAACCGGAGCUAAUACCGGAUAAUAUAUUGAACCGCAUGGUUCAAUAGUGAAAGACGGUUUUGCUGUCACUUAUAGAUGGAUCCGCGCCGCAUUAGCUAGUUGGUAAGGUAACGGCUUACCACGGCAACGAUGCGUAGCCGACCUGAGAGGGGGAUCGGCCACACUGGAACUGAGACACGGACCAGACGCCUACGGGAGGCAGCAGUAGGGAAUCUUCCGCAAUGGGCGAAAGCCUGACGGAGCAACGCCGCGUGAGUGAUGAAGGUCUUCGGAUCGUAAAACUCUGUUAUUAGGGAAGAACAAAUGUGUAAGGAACUAUGCACGUCUUGACGGUACCUAAUCAGAAAGCCACGGCUAACUACGUG